This 482-nucleotide ribosomal RNA is filed under the name uncultured bacterium. RNAcentral describes it as "partial 16S ribosomal RNA". It matches the Rfam family "Bacterial small subunit ribosomal RNA", at positions 30 to 507 of the family's 1533-position model. The record is from RNAcentral.
AUUGAACGCUGGCGGCAUGCUUUACACAUGCAAGUCGAACGGUAACAGCACUUCGGUGGCUGACGAGUGGCGAGCGGGUGAGUAAUACAUCGGAACGUGCCUAGUAGUGGGGGAUAACUACUCGAAAGAGUAGCUAAUACCGCAUGAGAUCUAAGGAUGAAAGCAGGGGACCUUCGGGCCUUGCGCUACUAGAGCGGCUGAUGGCAGAUUAGGUAGUUGGUGGGAUAAAAGCUUACCAAGCCGACGAUCUGUAGCUGGUCUGAGAGGACGACCAGCCACACUGGGACUGAGACACGGCCCAGACUCCUACGGGAGGCAGCAGUGGGGAAUUUUGGACAAUGGGCGCAAGCCUGAUCCAGCAAUGCCGCGUGCAGGAUGAAGGCCUUCGGGUUUUAAACUGCUUUUGUACGGAACGAAAAGCCCUCUUCUAAUACAGGAGGGUCAUGACGGUACCGUAAGAAUAAGCACCGGCUAACUACGUG